CGGGGUUUCACCAUGUUGGCCAGGCUGGUCUCAAACUCCUGAACUCAGGUGAUCCACCCGCCUCGGCCUCCCAAAGUGCUGGGAUUACAGGCGUGAGCCACCUUGCCCGGCGAAAGUCCUCUUUUCUCCCUGUUUCUGCUCUUGCUGCUGUGUGCACUGAGGGCCCACCACGCACUGGCAGAGGGGCUGGGCUGGGGGAGCUGCCUGGGUGGCUGCAUGGGCUCAGCUGUCCUUUUGAUUUUCAGAUUCGUCUGCGGUGCCAAAAGGGCAUCCCGCCUUCUCUGCGGGGCCGUGCUUGGCAGUACCUGUCAGGAGGCAAGGUGAAGUUACAGCAGAACCCUGGAAAGUUUGACGUAAGUUUCCCUUCCUUUGCCCUGCCCUCCCUUCCGCAUCUCUUGGCGUCCUCCCCAUGGCAGCAAUCCUCCAUGUGCUCACCUGAACCUCACAGGAUGAGCAGUCCAUGAAACCUCCAGUCAUGUGCCCAACUGCCCAGGCCCCAGCAGGCCAGACCGGCCCAGUCCUGGGUACCUGUGUCUCCUGGAGGGUCUGUACAACUGAGGCUCCAGCCCUGAGCAGCCCUCAGUGGAAUGGCCAGAUUUGGUACCCCCUAUUCCAGCUCUUUCUCUUGAUGACCACUCAGGUUUUGCUUUCCUGGGCUCAGUAGGCUACCUCCCUGCUCUUGGUUAUCAGGAGGGGACACUCAGACCAUUUCCCUGACUGCCUUGGGCCCUGUGCCCUGGGCCUAUGGGGGCUUGACUAGCAGGACCACAGGUCCUUCAGUGCCUCCUGGCCUCCCAUCCUCUACUUUCUCCUGCCUUGUCCAAGCCUGGCCAGCACAGCCCACCUGUGUGUCUUGUGGGGUCAUCAGCCCUAGGAGUAGCAGAGCCAAACCCAAGGGGACUGAAGGGAACUGCCCAAGUAGCUCAAGGGGUCAGACGCCAGUCAGUGGCCAGAGAGGGUGCCCUCUGUUGUUAUCCCUCCUCCUGUCCCGAUAUCCCUCCUGCUGCUCCCUGCCCCAUGGCUGGCCAGAGUAAAAUACCUCUCCAUUCAGAGCUGGGCAGCUCCUCCAGCCUGCUCCCCUAGGGAACUAUGGGGAAGCAGUUGGAUUCCCUGGGGUUGCCCCGGCUUACCUGCCAGAUCUGGCCGCAGGCAUCGGGGUUUCUCGCAGGCCCUUGGGACUGGUGACAGGCAGACAGUGAGACAGAGCAGAGCUGCCUACCACCAGCUCUUUGUUGACAUAUCUCAUGCUUCUUUAUUGAACACUCCAGUCUUGCCAAACCUGUUCCUUGAGAUGACUGGGCAGGAGCAGGGCAAGGUAGCCUAGAGUUUCUGCUGUUGACCUGGAGAGGGCGAGAGCUUUUUGCUGGCAACACGUGGACUUGCAGGGGCAGGGAAGCUGGUAGAGUGUCUGGCUGGGGUAGGUCUGAAUCUGGCUGAUUGGAUUAUUCCCCAGAGCACCAAUACCAGGCCACACUGGAGCAGCCUCUUGACUCCAGAGUCUUCCUCCUAGUGGCUACAUCUCUUCCAUUUCGAGGGGCUGCAUCCUGGGCAAAGUGGGAGGCUCAGGGGUGGGAACCUCAGUCCAAGUCCAUAGUUAACAUCAGGCUGCCAGAGCCAGGCAUGAGAGCCAAGAGCGUGGGCAGCCUGGUCAGCCUCUUGGCUGUGUGGUUCAGCAAGCGUGAGUGUGUGUGCAGCAGAACACAGAGCUGUGUGCAUGUGUGUGUAGAGCUGUGCUUCCAGAGAAGAAUCAGCCACCCCCCAGGGGGUCUGGAAGGUUGCUUGUGUGAGGAGGUGGAUUUGCAGAGAAGGCCUUCUUGAUGCACCGAAGCUGAGUGACGGGUUCCUGCACAGUUCUGGGGGCUGGAAGAAUGGUUUGUGAGCACACCUGGAAGGACUUUGCCUGUGGGUGACCCAGAGGAAGCAUGAGGAGCUUCCCCUGGUUGCUGCGGGUCCUGUGCCGAGGCAGGGCACAGUGGGGGUCUGGUGAUGGCAGCAUGCACCUGUUUCUGUGCUCUCUCCCCACAGGGCCCUCCAUUCAAUACCCAGUCCAGGUGGCCCAUCCCAACCUCAGCAUUCAGGGCAGGCUCUGCAGGUGCUGGUGGCUCCUUCUCCUGCACGUGCUAUUUCUUCCUCCUUCCUUGGGCAGGCAGGACCUCCCUGUCCUUUUUUACCUGGCUUUCUUCUCUGGCUUCACCUUAUGAUGGCGCCAGUACCCCUCAGGCUGGUGGAGGCUACAGGCCCCAUGACCAUGGUACCUGCUUGUCUGCCGGUGCCCUUUCGAUCUGCAGCUACCCUCUUUUCCUUUCUCACCAACCAUGUGUGGCCAAGUGCCUUAGGCUGCUGAAGUGCCAGAUGAACACAUCCUAGGAACUGACUUCCGGGGUUUUCGGGUUCCUACCUCAUGGGAACUGCUAGGAGAAUUUGUGGGGCCCUCUUCCCCAUUCUGACAAAAGCAAACCUGCACUGCGCUCAGACAGUACUUAGAGGUGCACAGUACACAGACCCCCAUCACAAGGGUGUGUGGGGCCCCAGAGGCACGCAUCCACCGCUCCGCUAUGUGCCUGCUAAAGGGCUCUGUGUGGAGGCCCCAGCCCCUCCCUGUCCCCUCCAGCCCUGAACACUCUGUCAGCCGCUCCUCUCAGUCCUUACCCUCUAGUCAAGUUCCUGGCACCCUAGGUUCUUGAGCUUAAUGCUAGGACACUCCCACUGAGGGCCAGAGAGGGAAAGGGGCUUGUAUGAAGUCACCUGCUCGUCAGGGCAGGGCCUGGGUCUGCGCCCACUGGGUAUGUUUGCUGAGGACCUGGCCUCCCUCCUGAGGGCCUUCCCUGAUGCUGCCCCUGCCCUGCAGGCAACUUGUACUUAAACCAACACUCCCAUGAAGGUGCCUGGGCCACACCUUUCAGCACAUUCUGGUUCCUCUGGUGAAUACUCUGCUUCCCUGCUCAGCCCUCUGGGCUUCCUCCUUAUUUAUUUUUUCUUUCUUUUUUAAAAAUUGAGGUAUGAAUUUACAUACAGUAAAAUGCAUAGAUCUUGAAUGUGCAUGCAGUUCAGUGAGUUUUGAUAAAUAAUACACAUCCAUGUAACCAACAUGCAGAUCAAGGUAGAGAACAUUUCAAAUGACCAAGAAAAGAUUUUCCUUUUUGUAAUGGCUUUGUUGUUUUGUAAAGGUGCACAUACUAAAGUGUUCACAGAAGUUCAAAGAAAAGAGUAAAACUUUGUUGAAACCUCGGCACCCAGAGAAGUAUCUGAGGUUAAUGGUUUGACAGAUGUCAUGUCCUUCCAGAAAGAGCUCUGUGCAGAUCUCACACACACCUGGCUUCCUGGAUAGUUGAUGCCACCUGCACAGGGAGGCACGUAGCUGAGGAGCUGGGAUGGACGGCUUUGAGUCAGACCUGGCUUCCAGUCCCAGCUCCACCAUUUUUCUAGCCAGAGUAAAAUACCUUGACAUGAGGCCUUGACAUUCAGUUUUCUCAUUUGCGAACAGGGUGUAAUGAUAGGUCCUAUCUCUGGAGGUUGGGGAGCAGGAUCAGUAAGGCCCACAGGUACCCUGUGCCCAGCUUAGCGCCUGGCUCAGAGAAGUGGGAACAGCUGGUAGCUAUUGCUCAGAGAAGCAGCCUUCUGUCUUAAGGAUGUGACAUAAUGUAUCUGACUCCCGAAUGAAAUGUCUAGAGGUCCUUCCAGCCGCAGCUAGAGUGGACACUCUUGCCCUCAUCGGUCUUCCUAGAGCCAGGUUUAAGGUUUCCAGGGCCCUUCCCUCCUUGCCCCUUUGCCCCUGCCCAGGCAUCCUUACCUGAGCUUCUCUUCUUGUCCUUGGGAAGGCCCAGUCUGUGAUGGGCUUGGGUGGGCACUGCCCCUGGUGGAGGGCCCCCUCCCCUAAUCCCUGGGCAGCCGUGUCCUGUCAGCAAAGCCCACCUCCAUCCUCCCCAGCCCCUAAUUUGUGCCCUUGCUUCUAGGAGCUGGACAUGUCCCCUGGGGACCCCAAGUGGCUGGACGUGAUUGAGCGUGACCUGCACCGGCAGUUCCCAUUCCAUGAGAUGUUUGUGUCCCGGGGGGGCCACGGCCAGCAGGACCUAUUCCGUGUGCUGAAGGCCUACACGCUGUACCGGCCCGAGGAGGGCUACUGCCAGGCCCAGGCGCCCAUUGCCGCUGUCUUGCUCAUGCAUAUGCCUGCUGAGGUACCACCAGGCCCCGGGCAGGCAGGGGGGUGGGUGGGGAACCCCCAACGGCAAGGCCUCACAUCUCUCUUGCCCACAGCAAGCCUUCUGGUGCCUGGUACAGAUCUGUGAGAAGUACCUGCCCGGCUACUACAGCGAGAAACUGGAGGCGAUCCAGCUGGACGGGGAGAUCCUUUUCUCGCUGUUGCAGAAGGUGUCACCGGUGGCCCACAAGCACCUCAGCCGUCAGAAGAUCGACCCGCUCCUCUAUAUGACAGAAUGGUUCAUGUGCGCCUUCUCCCGAACCUUGCCCUGGAGCUCUGUGCUGCGUGUCUGGGACAUGUUCUUCUGUGAAGGUACUGGGCUGGGCUUGGGGGGAGCACCCCUGUCCCCAGCAGCCCACAGUGGGGCCUCUCUUUGCAGAGAAACCCCAAAAAGCUUCCUUGUACUUACUGCCCAUCCCCCAUGCAGGGGUCAAGAUCAUCUUCCGGGUGGGGCUGGUGCUGCUGAAGCACGCGCUGGGCUCCCCUGAGAAGGUCAAAGCCUGCCAGGGCCAGUACGAGACCAUCGAGCGACUGCGGAGCCUCAGCCCCAAGAUCAUGCAGGAGGCCUUUCUGGUCCAGGAGGUGGUGGAGUUGCCCGUGACAGAGCGCCAGAUUGAGCGCGAACACCUCAUCCAGCUGCGGCGCUGGCAGGAGACCCGGGGUGAGCUGCAGUGCCGCUCCCCGCCCAGGCUGCAUGGUGCCAAGGCUAUCUUGGAUGCAGAACCUGGUCCCCGGCCUGCCCUACAACCUUCACCAUCCAUCCGCCUGCCCCUAGAUGCCCCCCUCCCUGGCUCCAAAGCCAAGCCCAAGCCACCCAAGCAGGCCCAGAAGGAGCAGCGGAAACAGAUGAAGGGGAGAGGGCAGCUGGAGAAGCCCCCAGCCCCAAAUCAAGCCAUGGUGGUGGCCGCUGCAGGAGAUGCAUGUCCCCCACAGCAUGUGCCCCCAAAGGACUCAGCCCCCAAGGACUCAGCCCCUCAGGAUUUGGCUCCCCAGGUCUCAGCCCACCACCGCUCCCAGGAGAGCUUGACGUCCCAAGAGAGUGAGGACACCUACUUGUAACCCUGGCAGCUAAGGCCUCCAGGGCGGGGUCUCCAUAUAACUACACGGUUCAUGAACUGACAUUCCACAUCCUGCCCACCCUCUGAGGGCCAAGCUGCCUGGCCACUGGGCUGGGCUGGAGUCUGGCUGGUCCAACACAGAUUCUGCCUGGUCCAACACAGAUUCUGCCUGAGCCUCCUUAUUUAUUUUCUUUACAGUGGCACUCAGGCUGGCCCAGCCAGGGCAGGCAGAAGCUAGGGCCUGGGGGGUGGGGCCUCCUUCAGCCCCCUCCUCCUGGGGGGAUGCUCCCCAGGGUUAGGGUGCUGGUGUGAGGGGAAAGGGUGGGGUGUUCUUUGUGUAAAAUAGAAACAUGGUUUUGUACAGAAAUAAACAGCCUUGUAUAGAG
Molecule: small RNA, 5642 nt
Filed under: Pan troglodytes (chimpanzee)
Lineage: Eukaryota; Metazoa; Chordata; Mammalia; Primates; Hominidae
Description: retained intron
Source: RNAcentral